AUUUGAGAUAUGUGGAAAGUGAAGCCUCUGAACACGAACACGUCAGCCUGGGGUCAAGGUGUGCUGGUGACAGUAUAAAGACACUGAAGAAGUUGAGUGAACUCAAAAGAAAAGGAAACAAAGUGAAAACGAAAAUGCUGGUCAUAAAGGGUCUGACCAUAAAUGUCCUUAGAGGCAUGGUGGCCAUUGGAGUCAUAGGCAUGAGUACGUCUGCUCUAUUUGGCGUGGCUGCCAUGAUUACAACGGGUGCUUAUGGGGUCUUUGAAGUCACUCGGUAUCUGAUGAACAAACGCAAAAAGCAAUGAAGACGACGCACUUCAGCUUCCUUAGAGAUGCCAAGGAGGCACAGCAGGCUGGCAAGCCAGUGACUUCAACAAACCUUGUGAUGUCACUUAAACAGCAGAAUUAAAAUCAGAUGACAGAA
Long non-coding RNA from Erpetoichthys calabaricus (reedfish), 424 nucleotides. RefSeq lists it as uncharacterized. The record is from RefSeq and is a predicted model, not a curated record. The transcript is spliced from 3 exons. Lineage: Eukaryota; Metazoa; Chordata; Cladistia; Polypteriformes; Polypteridae.